This is a long non-coding RNA of Phyllostomus discolor (pale spear-nosed bat), 1523 nucleotides long. RefSeq lists it as uncharacterized. The transcript has 2 exons. The record is from RefSeq and is a predicted model, not a curated record. NCBI's taxonomy places the organism in Eukaryota, Metazoa, Chordata, Mammalia, Chiroptera, Phyllostomidae.
AGAGCUGUUGACAGGUUUGUUUUUGUCCCUCAACUUAUGGUCAACAGACACGUGCAGGAGCUGAUGUAAAACACUUUCCGAAAGUACAUGGCUUUAAUUUCUGCCAUACUAAUCAUUCACUUUCUUUUCUGACUUGCUAAUUAUAGAGAUUCCCACCCAGUAUAGCAUUUCACUGGGUGUGGUCACUUUUCCUCCCACCUAUAAUAUAAAGGUAGGAAGGACAAUUUAUGUUGUGUUUUUUGUCUCCUUGGGAUGCGUUGCACAGAUUUGAUAAUGUAUUACAGAUGCUGGUACUUAAUUAAAACGGCUUAAUUUUGUUGCAAACUUUAAUAAACUGUUUUGGUUGAAAUCCACAUUUCUUCAUAAGGGUUUUAAGUCUGUGUUCCUGUUUUAUAAGAAAUCAUUAAAUAAUUGAAGUCUUUAUAUUUAGUUUAUAUAGAUUGUAACUGAAUUCUGUUUUUAAGAGAGAGGAUAGCUGUUUGGGGGUCAUGCAGAUUUCUUUCUAGAUUUUUGAUCACUAUUUUAAAAAGCUGCUCUAACUUUGGCUUUUAUUUACCCAGGAAAUGAAAGUAUCUAGUAUCUUUUUUCCUCUUGAUCCCUUGUGGAGGUGAUAAGGCCCUACAUCAUCUGUUUGCUUAUAAUUUGGUUACAUAGAGUAAGUAGCUCUAUAAGUAAACUUGUAGGGGUUAGAAAUCACCCCCUUUUUUUCUAUUGCACACAAAGGUUUUUUUAAGUUCUGCUUAAGGUGAUUGUUAGGGAAUGUUUUUGUACAUUUAUUUUUAGAAGUUGGUAUACAAUCUUUAUUAAAUUCAAAUACAUUUAAGGAAUAAACCUAUUAAUACUACAUUGUGUGAGGAGCUAAACAAAAGAAGAAUUAUGCUCCUUCCCCUUUGGUCAUAACUGGGGCUUCUCCUGUGUGUUACUGCACUGUUGACAGGUAGGGUUCAAGUAGAAUCAGAAGCUGAAAUCUAAGUCUGAAAGUUCUCUUGAUUUGUUACGUGUCUUAAAAGCAAAAAGUUAUAAAUGUAACUAUCCCCCUGUGAAAUAAUUAUGAUAACUUUUGUCCUCAUACCUCAUAGGGCCUUGGCACUUGGAUAGUUAGAUGGGUAGGGGAUAAAGGAUAAUAAUAAUUGGAAAGUGAUUUGAAAAAUACUAAGCAGAAAUGUAUUUUCAAGUUAUAGUUGGCACUUCAAACAAGUCUUUGUGUUUAGGAGCUACUAUAUGAAUAAUGAGUUAUUGUUCUUUUUUCCAAGGGGUUUAACUUUGGGCAGUAGGACUUUUUGUAUGUGUGCGCAUACAGAUGUUCAUACGUAUAUACUUUUUAAUAUAUUUUAUUGAUUAUGCUGUUAUUGUUUUCCCAAUUUUUUUUCCUUUGCCCUUCUGUACCCCCCAUUCCCUUCAGCAGUCCCCCUCCUUAGUUCCCGUCAGUGGGUCAUGCAAAUAAGUUCUUUGGCUUCUCCAUUUCCUAUGCUGUUCUUAACAUCCCCUGUCUAUUCUGUACCUGCCAAUUCAUACAUCUUAAU